CGCUGAACUGUUCAUAAUUUAUGGAAAUGAGUGAAGUAAAUCGAAUAUCAGGACUUCUGAAAUUGCUGAAUGAAUUGAUGUUGAAAAAAAAAGCAUCGAAUUGGUUCGGGCGUUACCAUAUCUCCGAGAAGAAGUUCUAUCUUCACACGCUUCUAUGUCCAUGAUUUGCCUUAUUAGGGGACCGGGAAGGCUUAGAUUAGAAAUCCAAGCUUCUGUAGUGAAAUCUUGCAUCAUUUGUCCAAGUGCUCUCGCCAUUGGAACGAACCUUUCAGAAAAUGCAAUUAAUGUAUUAAGAUUUGAUGGGGAUUCUCAAGCCCUUACCGAGGUGUGUUCGUAGUUCUGUGCGUGCUAGUGUUAUUCCCUAUGGUGUCAGAAGGUCGUGGAAGAGCUUAUUCAUAAUACCUUGAAUGCUGAUGGGUGGAAGGGAAGUCGUAACAAGGUAUCCAUAGGGGAACCUUAUUUCAAUAGCUUUAUGCAGUGACAUUGAAAUUUCAUGAUCUCAUCAAGAUGCCCAAGGUGGAACGUUUGGCUCCUGAGGACAGGCAUUUGCUUCGAUUUCAGAUGUAUCGGUGGUGGAGAUCAUAACCAAAGCAUGUGGGAGGGCAAAUGGAUAUUGUAAAGUCAUGAAGGGUUGCAAAUGCUUGUGUCUUGGAAUUGAUGAUGAUAUGGAAGAUGUUGGUACUACUGGUAACAGUUUCAUCAUCCCUCAGUUACAUUAUAUUGUGAAAAUCGCUUACCAUGCUUUAAGACCUUGCUAGUGCUUGUAUCUGCGGGGUCAGAGUCAGAUUUUCAUGGGGAGGGGCAAUACUUCAUAUUCUAACUACACACACAUCAUACAAUCUUUUUCUUAUAUAUACAUAGUUUUUUAAUCCAAGACGAACUAAGGGUAUCUAAUCAGCUCCUUGGUAUUUGGAUAUCUGGGUAUGUGUGAGAUCCCACAUCGAUUGGAGAGGGGAACGAGUGUCAGUAAGGACGCUGGGCCCCGCAGGGGGUGG
This is a long non-coding RNA of Cucurbita moschata (crookneck pumpkin), 995 nucleotides long. RefSeq lists it as uncharacterized. Lineage: Eukaryota; Viridiplantae; Streptophyta; Magnoliopsida; Cucurbitales; Cucurbitaceae. The record is from RefSeq and is a predicted model, not a curated record. The transcript has 4 exons.